CCCGUGUUAGAAGAGCAAGCGCCCCCGCCUCAGAUGAAGCCCCGUUCUAGCCGGGAGCGCAUGCGAAUAGUUUACGUGAACAGCUUCGGCACCCACCGCUGCGGCUCCGUAAUCCAAUAUGGCGGCGGCCACAGGCGCCGUGAGGAGAAGGCCGCCGCUUCCGGUGUCGUAGACAGAGAUAUGUCCUCUACCGCUUUGAGCCGGAGGCAGGGGGUGCUGAGGGGCAAGGCGGGUGCCGUUCCGAGGGAAGGUUGCGGAAGCCCCUGGUUCCCAAUCCCUCCUGGCACCGGUCCGGGGGGAGCUGCGUCGUGUGCUGCCGCCCAGGGACCGAGCCAGGGUGGCCAGGCAGGGGGAGCCCCCAGUCUCUGGGAGAGCGGGCCGGGGCUGCGGUGCACACAGAGCAGAGCCGGCGGCUGCGCGCAGGCACCCGGGAGCCCUGCCCUUGCGCCCGGCGCCAGCCAGCGAUACGGUGGGCUUCAAAUGAAUCAGGCUGAUAAGUUUGGAUUCCCUUUCACUUCUAAAGUUGUUAAUAAAGUAAUAAAACGGAAAAAGGAAAAGUCUGAAGUCUUUCGUGGAGUGUUGAAAAUAAUUUCAAAAAUGCUUGAAGAAAAUGAAAAAUUUAGAGGCAGACUGUUGACUUGCCGUCAGUUUAAUACUGAAGGCAGUGAUGUGAACCAAAGCUCACAAAAUGAGGCUUCCUGCAUGGACGGAGAUGAGUCCAUCUUCGGAUGGGUGUAGCAAAGAAGUAAAUGAAGAUUCAGUUUCAAGUGUUGCAUUGAAUUAGUGUUCAUUUUAGAUCUGAUCUAACAUCCAUCUGACAUUAAUGAAAAGACUGACAAUGAUUUCAGUGAGUGUUGGAUCAGAGUAUAUAGUUUAUCUGUCUAGUAUUUUAGCUUGGAGAGCUGUCUUUUAAUAUGGGUUCAAUUAAAGUUUUCAGUUAGAGAGUGUUGUUUUGUUGAAAUCCUUAUUAAGCAUAAUAUAUCACUUAGUCAUUGUUCAUUUUUGCAGGCUUUUUAAUGAACAUUAUAGUGUGAUGGUUUGCAUUCAAAAGAAUAGUAAUAUUUUAUGUUAAUUAUAUUAUGAAUAUAUAUAUAUUGCAUAAUCAGCAGCUUGUCAGAAUUGUUAACAAACGUGUUUAGUAAAAUAAAAUUUCAUACAAGAUAUCUGUCUAAAAUGAA
RNAcentral lists this long non-coding RNA (1178 nucleotides) under Chelonoidis abingdonii (Abingdon island giant tortoise). RNAcentral describes it as "lncRNA (ENSCABG00000014112.1)". The record is from RNAcentral. Lineage: Eukaryota; Metazoa; Chordata; Testudines; Testudinidae.